UGUGGAUGUUGCUUUAGAGCGUUUUAAAUGUGGAUUUUGGUUGUCAUCGUUUAAAUCCUUAUGUUCGUGUUUAGGUUGAUUCGUUUGGAUGUUGACUUGAACAAGGAUUGUAGUUAAAUCUCAGGUAACGGAUUUCUAACUACUGGACCCCAAACCGAGACAAAAAACGUAGUAACUCAUGUGAAGGUUAUACAAUAGCGACUGUACUGAAUUGAUUGAUGCAUGUUGCUUAGAAAACAUCAUUAGUAUGCACUCUUGACUGAUUAAAGGUGACAUGAUUGUUAGUUAUAACUUAUACAUACAAAUAUGUGAAUGAGUUGUUCUGCUGAUGGUGUACAGAUGCCUAGAUGUUUUAUGUAAUAUAGCUAUAUUGUUGGAUCGUGCUGUUAACUGAAAUGGCAAAGGUAACACGAGGGGCAGACUGGCAAGAGGCAAAAAGGAUGCGUGAAGGUCAUAUGGACAUGUCUAGUUUUUUAUGCUUCCACUGAACGUAUUUGUUAUUUCUGUAUUUUUUUAAUUAUUAAAUGGAGUCAUGGUCAGAACAAUUGUUCUUCUAUUUUGUUUUGAUGACUUCAUGGAUUAUGUUUUGGAACUUUUGGAAAGCGAUUUAAAAUAGGGCCCGAAAUUGCUUUUCUUA
Cucumis melo (muskmelon) is the source of this 637-nucleotide long non-coding RNA. RefSeq lists it as uncharacterized. The transcript is spliced from 2 exons. Lineage: Eukaryota; Viridiplantae; Streptophyta; Magnoliopsida; Cucurbitales; Cucurbitaceae. The record is from RefSeq and is a predicted model, not a curated record.